Long non-coding RNA from Haliotis rubra (blacklip abalone), 217 nucleotides. RefSeq lists it as uncharacterized. The transcript is spliced from 2 exons. NCBI's taxonomy places the organism in Eukaryota, Metazoa, Mollusca, Gastropoda, Lepetellida, Haliotidae. The record is from RefSeq and is a predicted model, not a curated record.
UGUUACAUGUUAUAUUUAUAUCUCCAAAUAAGGCGAGUAACAAUGACAUGUUUGUUACAGAGAAGACAAUUCAAUCGUAUAUUUGAGUUAGGAUAAGAAUACAUCUAUGGCAGUGAAGAUAAGAUAGUCUAUAUUUUGGAACUUAGCCUAUGUGUUACCCCAAAGACAUGUCAGAGUUACUGGAAAGACAUUUCAGAUCAAGUUGAUGGAAGACAAA